CAGGGUUUCCCCAUGUUGGCCAGGCUGGUCUUGAACUCCUAACCUCAGGUGAUCCACCUGCCUUGGCCUCCCAAAGUGCUGGCAUUACAGGUGUGAGCCACCACACCCAGCCUGUAAGCAUAACUUUUAUAUCUAUUGGGAAACAAACAAACAAAAAAAAGGUGUGAUUUGUUUUAUAGUUAUAUUCACUGUAUUGAAGUGAUUUAGAACCAACUUGCAAUAUCUCUAAGGUAUGCCUUUAUGUAUACAAGGUGCUAAUCUAGAUUACUCCGUGAAUCUUCUCUAACAGUAAAAAGUUUUGUUGUCAUUUCCUUUAUGCAUUUACUAUUUUUGAACAGACUCACUAUGAGGUAGCAAAAUUACUUCCUAAGUGUAAGAGACUUCUUAUUAUCAAUUGUUUUCAGUAUCUGCAAUCUCUGAACAUACUCCUGCUGUUUUAGUAGAGAUGAAAAACGUUAUUUUACUUUAUUCUUUCAUAGUAGUAUCUUUACUAGAUUUUUACCAUUUUAUCUAGAGUUAGUCAAAUGUUCCACAAAGUAAUAUGUUUCUUUUACAAGCUGAAUUCAUUAUUAUUGUUAUUAUUUUUUACCUCCUUUGCUUUUUUUCAUAUUGUUUGCCUCUUCUAGUGAAUUGUUCAUGAGGGCUUAGCACUGGUGCUCAUUAUGAACUACUGAAGAUUCAGUUUUUUACCAAAGGUAGCAUUUGAAGAAUAGAGGAGAUUCUCAACUAAAGCAUCAAUUAAAAAGACGUCGACAAUUCCUGAUGAGUUGAGACUCCUGGAUUGCCAUAGGAUGGUUGUGGCCUCCUAAAUCUGUAUCUUUACAUGCAUUCUCUAAAAGUCCACACAGAUCAACAAAGAGAUAAAAUAAAACCAAUUAACUGUAAUCUGUGUCUUCAGCAUAACCAGCAGACACACUUCAAAUUAUUACAGAGAUAAAUAAAUAACCAAAUAUAGCCUACACAACUUCAGAGACCACUGCAGGGAGAGUUAAAACUGCAGAGACUACAUGGACAAGAGGAGAGGGAAAUGGGGAGCCAGGAGCCGAACAGUAAUAGCACACAAUGAAAAUUACCUUUAGAAAGAAAAAUUCCUACACUAGUAGGAAAAUAGUAUGAUCUGGUCUUAGAUUAGAUUCUAACAUUGGCUACUCAAAAGUACAUGGGAUUCCGGGUGACAGGUCAGAAAAGUACCACUUUGGGGAUGGAGUUGUUCCCCUUUAAUACCUGGUGCUGAAAAGAAAGAAGCAAGAGGGAGAAAUGAAGUGUUCUGUAGAAAUAAGAAAACCACAAAAUCAGAAGACAAACUAAUCACCCCACUUUGGCCUCAGUUCAGAAGAGGGAGCAUUUGAACUAAAAAUCCUAGAUACUUAUUCCAAAUUGUUGCCCUUACUGCAUAUAAUUUUUAUUGCUGGUGAAGGAAAACAAAAAAUUAUACACUGAACAGGAAAUUUCAUGUAAGUUACAUACAAAGAAGAAAGCAGAAAAUAAGAAUCAAAACAUUUUAGCUAUUAAAAAUUUUCCAUGCUCGCUUUGGCAGCAUAUAUACUAAAAUUGGAAUGAUACAGAGAAGAUUAGCAUGGCCCCUGUGCAAGGAUGACAUGCAAAUUUGUGAAGCGUUCCAUAUUUUUUUUUUAAGAAAAAAAAAUUUCCAGCAAAGCCAUUCAUGAGGCAGUUAUCAUUAACAAAACACCAUGACCUGUAUUAAAUAUUCUUAAAUAAGCCUUUGGAGAUAAGAAGAGAAGAAACCUUCAAGUUAUACAUUCGGAAACGUAGAACCUAAGUAAACACCAGGAAGAAGUGUAAUUAGAGUUGACCAGAAGAAAUUGAAGAAAAUGACAAAAUUCUUGUAAAAAUUAAGACUAAAUUUCAAGGUGCCCAAGGAAGACUAGAGGUGAUUGGAAAUUUAAUAAAGGGCAUUGAGGAAAGAGAUGAAAACAGGCAAAUGAGAAGAUAAAGGAUCAGA
Long non-coding RNA from Sapajus apella (tufted capuchin), 1963 nucleotides. RefSeq lists it as uncharacterized. Lineage: Eukaryota; Metazoa; Chordata; Mammalia; Primates; Cebidae. The transcript is spliced from 2 exons. The record is from RefSeq and is a predicted model, not a curated record.